UACGGAGGGUGCAAGCGUUAUCCGGAUUUACUGGGUUUAAAGGGAGCGCAGGCGGAUUGGUAAGUCAGUGGUGAAAUACCCGUGCUUAACAUGGGAGCUGCCAUUGAUACUAUCAGUCUUGAAUAUCGUUGAGGUUUGCGGAAUGGGUCAUGUAGCGGUGAAAUGCAUAGAUAUGACCCGGAACACCUAUUGCGAAGGCAGCAGGCUAAACGAAGAUUGACGCUGAGGCUCGAAAGCGUGGGGAUCAAACAGG
This 253-nucleotide ribosomal RNA is filed under the name uncultured bacterium. RNAcentral describes it as "partial 16S ribosomal RNA". It matches the Rfam family "Bacterial small subunit ribosomal RNA", at positions 524 to 776 of the family's 1533-position model. The record is from RNAcentral.